Hippocampus zosterae (dwarf seahorse) is the source of this 781-nucleotide long non-coding RNA. RefSeq lists it as uncharacterized. The record is from RefSeq and is a predicted model, not a curated record. The transcript has 2 exons. Lineage: Eukaryota; Metazoa; Chordata; Actinopteri; Syngnathiformes; Syngnathidae.
CUUUUCUAUUCUUUACCCAAGAUGACCCCUGUAUUGAACUCUUAUGGAGAUUUUAUCCGAUGCAGUGCAUUUUUCUGCAAAGUGGAGAUUUAUUUGUAUGGAUUUAUAUAACGACUCUAAUAAGAACGAGCUCGAACGAAGCCGUCACAGAUUGACCGAGAAAGGCAAGGGGGCUUAGGAGUACUGCUUGGUGAACCUCUGGUGGAACUCCUUCACUUUGCUCAGGAGGAUCUUCAGCUUGUCAGCGGGUGGCAGGAUGGUCAUCCUGUACAAGAAGAAAAAUAUGUUUCAAAGACAUGUAUAUCACACAUUUUACAUACUUUUCACAUUCCUGGGGGGUGAUUCAGUUACAGAUGUCUGCCAGCAAUUAUUAUUAUUAUCAUUUUUAUUCUAAGAAUAUAAAUUGCCUUCAAUUGACCUGAUAUCAAUUUACUUCAGUUUUACUAUACAGUGGCUAACCUAUUUUUACACUUUUAUAACAGGAACUUUAAAAUGGUCAGACAGUAUUUUUUUUUCAUGCCAAAUUCUGAACUACAGUGUUUCUCAAUGUGGGGGUAGUGUGACUAGUUGAGCAUGUGCUCCACCUAGUGGUACCGUAGAGAAUGACUGAAUUAAACAGAAAUAUUCACAUUUAAAAAUAUGACAUUCAAGCAAACACAAAUAAAUCUGUAUUUAACUUUCUGUACGAUUUAUUUGUAUGUCAUCUUUAACUGUUUGUUUUUAAAAUCUAUGAAGUACAGUUUUUUUAUCUAACUUUUGAUGUGCAAUAAAUUUUUAACUU